GAUGAACGCUGGCGGCGUGCCUAAUACAUGCAAGUCGAGCGAACAGACGAGGAGCUUGCUCCUUCGACGUUAGCGGCGGACGGGUGAGUAACACGUAGGUAACCUACCUAUAAGACUGGGAUAACUUCGGGAAACCGGAGCUAAUACCGGAUAAUAUUUCGAACCGCAUGGUUCGAUAGUGAAAGAUGGCUUUGCUAUCACUUAUAGAUGGACCUGCGCCGUAUUAGCUAGUUGGUAAGGUAACGGCUUACCAAGGCAACGAUACGUAGCCGACCUGAGAGGGUGAUCGGCCACACUGGAACUGAGACACGGUCCAGACUCCUACGGGAGGCAGCAGUAGGGAAUCUUCCGCAAUGGGCGAAAGCCUGACGGAGCAACGCCGCGUGAGUGAUGAAGGUCUUCGAAUCGUAAAACUCUGUUAUUAGGGAAGAACAAACGUGUAAGUAACUGUGCACGUCUUGACGGUACCUAAUCAGAAAGCCACGGCUAACUACGUG
This 497-nucleotide ribosomal RNA is filed under the name uncultured bacterium. Its description in RNAcentral is "partial 16S ribosomal RNA". It matches the Rfam family "Bacterial small subunit ribosomal RNA", at positions 28 to 507 of the family's 1533-position model. The record is from RNAcentral.